This 912-nucleotide ribosomal RNA is filed under the name uncultured Tulasnella. Its description in RNAcentral is "eukaryotic LSU rRNA". The stretch from base 331 to 912 matches the Rfam family "Eukaryotic large subunit ribosomal RNA", at positions 1 to 558 of the family's 3401-position model. Lineage: Eukaryota; Fungi; Basidiomycota; Agaricomycetes; Cantharellales; Tulasnellaceae. The record is from RNAcentral.
AGACCGUUGCAAAUUGCGAUAAAGUGAUGUGAUGCGCAAGUCCACCACUUAUACGUGAAUCAUCGAGUUGUUGAACGCAUUGCACCGCGCCCUAAUCCGGCUGCGGUAUGCCCCUUUGAGCGUCAUUGUAUUCCUUCGGGAGUCCUUUUACAAGGACCCGAGUUCGGAGUCCUCGGUCCCCUGUGGAUCGUGUUCUCUCAGAUCCCUCGCACCGAUCGCCUGAUGCGUCCUCUAAUGCCUAAGCGUGGAGUUCCUUCAGAGUCCGAGAGGUGCUUGACCGAGUCUUGAGCUCGUGUCACCAAGUCUGCCUAACAGCAGUACUACAACGCAUGACCUCAUUGGGGUAGGACAACCCGCUAGACUUAAGCAUAUUAAUCAGCGGAGGAAAAGAAACUAACCAGGAUUCCCUCAGUAACUGCGAGUGAAGCGGGAUCGGCUCAAUGUGUGAAUCUGGCUUGGGGUACAUCCCGGGUUCGAGUUGUGCACUAUGGAUGCUUCGUCUGCGUUUGUAAAGGCGGUGGAAGUCCGUUGAAACACGGCACCUCAGAGGGUCACAGUCCUGUACCACCUGCCUGCACUCGCGCCAAUGACAAGUGCUCCUCGAGUCGCGUAGUUUUGUAAUGCUGCGCCAAGUGGGAGGUAGAGACCUUCUAAGGCUAAAUAUGAUGACGUGACCGAUAGCACACAAGUACCGCGAGGGAAAGGUGAAAAGCAACCAUGAAAAAUGGGUUGAAACAGUAGUGAAAGCGCUACCGGGAUAAGGGCUAUCGGGUGCUGGGGCUCUUUGGGUGUGCUUUAGUGCUACCCUCCGAGACGGCCCGCGAGGGUUGAUGUUGGGGCGAUAGACGCACUGCAGGAAUUCAGCUGCCUUCGGGCAGUGUUGUAGCCUGCGGUUGCUGAUCCUCCUGCGAC